Molecule: ribosomal RNA, 497 nt
Filed under: uncultured bacterium
Lineage: Bacteria
Description: partial 16S ribosomal RNA
Rfam family: Bacterial small subunit ribosomal RNA
Source: RNAcentral
GGGGGGGGGGGGGGGGGGGCCGGGGGCGGGCGGGUCGGGCGGAGGGGCGAGAAGCGUGCUUCUCUGAUGGGGGCGGCGGACGGGUGAGUAAGACGUGGAUAACCUACCUAUCAGAAUGGGAUAACUUCGGGACACCGGGUCUACUACCGGAUAAUAUUUUGAACCGCAUGGUUCAAAAGUGAAAUACUGUCUUUCUUUCACUUAUAGAUUGCUCCGCGCUGCAUUAGCUAGUUGUGAAGGUAACGGCUUAACAAGGCAACGAUGCAUCGCCGACCUGAUAGGGUGAUCGGCAACACGGGAACUGAGACACGGUCCAGACGCCUAAGGGAGGCAGCAGUAGGGAAUCGUCCGCAACGGGCGAAAGCCUGACGGAGCAACGCCGCGUGAGUGAUGAAGGUCUUCGGAUCGUAAAACUCUGUUAUUAGGGAAGAACAUAUGUGUAAGUAACUGUGCACAUCGUGACGGUACCUAAUCAGAAAGCCACGGCUAACUACGUG